This 696-nucleotide ribosomal RNA is filed under the name uncultured bacterium. RNAcentral describes it as "bacterial SSU rRNA". It matches the Rfam family "Bacterial small subunit ribosomal RNA", at positions 32 to 715 of the family's 1533-position model. The record is from RNAcentral.
AACGCUAGCUACAGGCUUAACACAUGCAAGUCGAGGGGAAACGACAUCGAAAGCUUGCUUUUGAUGGGCGUCGACCGGCGCACGGGUGAGUAACGCGUAUCCAACCUGCCCACCACUUGGGGAUAACCUUGCGAAAGUAAGACUAAUACCCAAUGACGUCUCUAGAAGGCAUCUGAAAGAGAUUAAAGAUUUAUCGGUGAUGGAUGGGGAUGCGUCUGAUUAGCUUGUUGGCGGGGUAACGGCCCACCAAGGCGACGAUCAGUAGGGGUUCUGAGAGGAAGGUCCCCCACAUUGGAACUGAGACACGGUCCAAACUCCUACGGGAGGCAGCAGUGAGGAAUAUUGGUCAAUGGGCGAGAGCCUGAACCAGCCAAGUAGCGUGCAGGAUGACGGCCCUAUGGGUUGUAAACUGCUUUUAUACAGGAAUAAAGUUAGCCACGUGUGGUUAUUUGUAGGUACUGUAUGAAUAAGGACCGGCUAAUUCCGUGCCAGCAGCCGCGGUAAUACGGAAGGUCCAGGCGUUAUCCGGAUUUAUUGGGUUUAAAGGGAGCGUAGGCCGUCUGUUAAGCGUGUUGUGAAAUGUAGAUGCUCAACAUCUGAAUCGCAGCGCGAACUGGCAGACUUGAGUGUGCGCAACGUAGGCGGAAUUCGUGGUGUAGCGGUGAAAUGCUUAGAUAUCACGAAGAACUCCGAUUG